This 460-nucleotide ribosomal RNA is filed under the name uncultured bacterium. RNAcentral describes it as "partial 16S ribosomal RNA". It matches the Rfam family "Bacterial small subunit ribosomal RNA", at positions 338 to 795 of the family's 1533-position model. The record is from RNAcentral.
CCUACGGGUGGCAGCAGUGAGGAAUAUUGGUCAAUGGACGCAAGUCUGAACCAGCCACGCCGCGUGCAGGAAGACGGCUCUAUGAGUUGUAAACUGCUUUUGUACGAGGGUAAACGCAGAUACGCGUAUCUGUCUGAAAGUAUCGUACGAAUAAGGAUCGGCUAACUCCGUGCCAGCAGCCGCGGUAAUACGGAGGAUUCAAGCGUUAUCCGGAUUUAUUGGGUUUAAAGGGUGCGUAGGCGGUCGGAUAAGUUAGUGGUGAAAUCCCGAGGCUCAACUUCGGAAUUGCCUCUGAUACUGUCCGGCUAGAGAGUAGUUGCGGUAGGCGGAAUGUAUGGUGUAGCGGUGAAAUGCUUAGAGAUCAUACAGAACACCGAUUGCGAAGGCAGCUUACCAAGCUACUUCUGACGUUGAGGCACGAAAGCGUGGGGAGCAAACAGGAUUAGAUACCCUGGUAGUC